RNAcentral lists this ribosomal RNA (468 nucleotides) under uncultured bacterium. RNAcentral's name for it is "partial 16S ribosomal RNA". It matches the Rfam family "Bacterial small subunit ribosomal RNA", at positions 28 to 507 of the family's 1533-position model. The record is from RNAcentral.
GACGAACGCUGGCGGCGUGCUUAACACAUGCAAGUCGAACGGAAAGGCCCUGCUUUGGUGGGGUGCUCGAGUGGCGAACGGGUGAGUAACACGUGAGUAACCUGCCCUUGACUUUGGGAUAACCUCAGGAAACUGGGGCUAAUACCGGAUAGGAGCUCCUGCUGCAUGGUGGGGGUUGGAAAGUUUCGGCGGUUGGGGAUGGACUCGCGGCGUAUCAGCUUGUUGGUGGGGUAGUGGCUUACCAAGGCUUUGACGGGUAGCCGGCCUGAGGGGGUGACCGGCCCCGUUGGGAUUGAGAUACGGCCCGGACUCCUAUGGGAGGCAGCGGUGGGGAGUAGUGCACAAUGGGCGGAAGCCUGAUCCAGCAACGCCGCGUGGGGGAUGACGGCCUGGGGGUUGUAAACCGCUUCCGCCUGUGACGAGGCGUGAGUGACGGUAAUGGGUAAAGAAGCACCGGCUAACUACGUG